CCUACGGGAGGCAGCAGUGAGGAAUAUUGGUCAAUGGACGAGAGUCUGAACCAGCCAAGUAGCGUGAAGGAUGACUGCCCUAUGGGUUGUAAACUUCUUUUAUAUGGGAAUAAAAUGUUCCACGUGUGGGAUUUUGUAUGUACCAUAUGAAUAAGGAUCGGCUAACUCCGUGCCAGCAGCCGCGGUAAUACGGAGGAUCCGAGCGUUAUCCGGAUUUAUUGGGUUUAAAGGGAGCGUAGGUGGAUUGUUAAGUCAGUUGUGAAAGUUUGCGGCUCAACCGUAAAAUUGCAGUUGAAACUGGCAGUCUUGAGUACAGUAGAGGUGGGCGGAAUUCGUGGUGUAGCGGUGAAAUGCUUAGACAUCACGAAGAACUCCGAUUGCGAAGGCAGUUCACUGGACUGCAACUGACACUGAGGCUCGAAAGUGUGGGUAUCAAACAGGAUUAGAUACCCGUGUAGUC
RNAcentral lists this ribosomal RNA (460 nucleotides) under uncultured bacterium. RNAcentral describes it as "partial 16S ribosomal RNA". It matches the Rfam family "Bacterial small subunit ribosomal RNA", at positions 338 to 795 of the family's 1533-position model. The record is from RNAcentral.